CCCAGGGGCGCACUUCCUCUCCUUCUGCGCCUGUGCACGUCCUAGUCCCGCCCCCAAAUCCCGUAGGCCUCUGCGAGAUGGUAUUUAAGUGUCUCGCGGUAGGCCUUCGGUCUCAUUCUUCCAUUGUUUCCGGGUUCAGGCUCACGUCGAAUGCUGAAGGGUUGUAAAGGGCUCUCGUUAGAAUGUGGUUUAGUUCAAAAGACUACAGGUUGGAGAAUGGGACAAGGCUUAUCCCUGUGUAGGUCAAACAUUGCAGUGAUGCCCCAGCAUCUCAUCACCAAUCACAAGGAAUUCAGCUGCCUCCCAGGGUGAAUACAGCUUGUUCCUCUUGGAAUGAUUUUCCUGGGGAGGGAGACAGCAACCCAGCAAGCAGCAGUUGGUUCUUGUGAGGGUGUGCUCUUCCCUCACCACAUGUCACUGUCAGAUGAUUUGAAUUGAUAAUGCUGAUCCUCUGUGAGGUUGUCCUGAUGGUGAUAUAUUCAUCUAUCUUAACAAUGCCUAUUGAUCUGCUCUGGGUAAAAUUCCUGGAAAGAGUUGAGAGUAAGUGAAUCAGCUAGUUCCUGCAUACUUCUUUCUGGAAAGCCUCCAGAGCUGAAAGGUACCGUUGCCAGUAACCUGCUUGUUUGCUCAAAGUUCCAGCACCUUGUUUGGAGCCUGAGAAUGAUUUGAGGGGAAAGGUAAAAGCCAUAUUUCUGCUCAACUCCAGUCUGAAGUUAAGAGGUCUGAAAAAAAGAAUAAAGCACAUAUAAUAGAGUUGACUCUUGGAGGACGUCAAAAUUUGGAAUUGUCAAGCCAUUAUAUAACGUAGCUGUUGAAAUUAGCAUGCAAUCAUUUCAGCCUUUGUAAAUAAAAGUUUUUUUCUUUUAAACCUUCA
Long non-coding RNA from Camelus dromedarius (Arabian camel), 874 nucleotides. RefSeq lists it as uncharacterized. Lineage: Eukaryota; Metazoa; Chordata; Mammalia; Artiodactyla; Camelidae. The record is from RefSeq and is a predicted model, not a curated record. The transcript is spliced from 13 exons.